GCCUGGAUAGCUCAGUGGAUAGAGCGCUGUGUGUGGUGGAAGGCUGGGAGUUCGAGUCUCUCAAGAAAUCGGGAGAGCACCACAAACAGAGGUCGGCGGUUCGAAUCCGUCUCUUGGCA
RNAcentral lists this transfer RNA (119 nucleotides) under Bacteroides fragilis. Its description in RNAcentral is "tRNA-OTHER". It matches the Rfam family "tRNA". Rfam says of the family: Transfer RNA (tRNA) molecules are approximately 80 nucleotides in length. Their secondary structure includes four short double-helical elements and three loops (D, anti-codon, and T loops). Further hydrogen bonds mediate the characteristic L-shaped molecular structure. tRNAs have two regions of fundamental functional importance: the anti-codon, which is responsible for specific mRNA codon recognition, and the 3' end, to which the tRNAs corresponding amino acid is attached (by aminoacyl-tRNA synthetases). tRNAs cope with the degeneracy of the genetic code in two manners: having more than one tRNA (with a specific anti-codon) for a particular amino acid; and 'wobble' base-pairing, i.e. permitting non-standard base-pairing at the 3rd anti-codon position. The record is from RNAcentral. Lineage: Bacteria; Pseudomonadati; Bacteroidota; Bacteroidia; Bacteroidales; Bacteroidaceae.